GUUGUUGCAGUUAAAAAGCUCGUAGUUGAAUUUCGGGAUCAAUGUUUCGGUCAUGCCGUUGGUAUGUACUGAUAUUAUUGAUUUCUCACCUUCUAAAGAACCGUAAUGCCAUUAAUUUGGUGUCACGGGGAAUUAGGACUGUUACCUUGAAAAAAUUAGAGUGUUUAAAGCAGGCUUACGCUUGAAUACAUUAGCAUGGAAUAAUGAAAUAGGACAUCCGAUUCUAUUUUGUUGGUUUCUAGGAUCGAUGUAAUGAUUAAUAGGGAUAGUUGGGGGCAUUAGUAUUCAAUUGUCAGAGGUGAAAUUCUUGGAUUCAUUGAAGACUAACUACUGCGAAAGCAUUUGCCAAGGAUGUUUCCAUUAAUCAAGAACGAAAGUUAGGGGAUCGAAGACGAUCAGAUACCGUCGUAGUCUUAACCAUAAACUAUGCCGACUAGGGAUCGGAUGAUGUUAAUUUUUUAAUGACUCAUUCGGCGCCUUACGGGAAAC
This 489-nucleotide ribosomal RNA is filed under the name uncultured Glomeraceae. RNAcentral describes it as "SSU rRNA". It matches the Rfam family "Eukaryotic small subunit ribosomal RNA", at positions 609 to 1098 of the family's 1831-position model. Lineage: Eukaryota; Fungi; Glomeromycota; Glomeromycetes; Glomerales; Glomeraceae. The record is from RNAcentral.